GCUCUUUCCUCCUUUCUGAGCACACCUGGCUCAGCAGCUGCUCGCAGGACCAGGGAUCUGUGUGCCUGCAGGGUGGGAUCAGCAGCCUCUGAGCCAAGUGAGUGAAGUGGAAGUCACCUUGCAUUAUUUUUCCUUUUUUUUUUUUUUUUCUUUUUGACUCUGAUCCUUCUCGAGCUGGAGUCCAGCCAGUUUUCACUCUCUCAAUGUGGCUGUGGUGAGGAGGAGGAACAGGACCCUAGAGUGGUACAUAUGCAGCAGAGGCUCAUUUGGACUGUGCAUUUUGAUGUUUCUCUCAGAGCUGAAAACAUCUUGACAACACAAACUGUGAGACUAAAAUAUGAUUUCUGGCAGUGUCCAACUCUGACACACUGCCCAGGAGAGUAAGUUGUGACUUUUUGGCAUCAUUUCCAUUUGUAACUUCAUUUCUGCAUCUGAUUUUAUCCCCUGAAGAACAAAGCUAUUAUAUUCCAUGAGACUACACCAGCAAAAAGACAUUGAAGUGAGUAGAAAACCAGGCCAGGAAUUUGGAAAUGUUUUUAUUGCAUUGACACAUUUUGAUUUAAUGUUCUUUUUUUAAACCAUUCACUUGUGCAAAAUAUCAUUAUUGCAAAACAAAUGGAACCAUCACAUAUAUGAAUGGAAGAGGACAUUGCUGUCAAUCUUAAUAUUCUUCAUUGCUUCAUCCUUAGCAAUCACUGUUGCUAAUUUUGUAACUUUUAAGGAAAAGUUGUUUUUACUUAUCUGUUAUUCAAGUUGAUUCUGGGCAAUUUUAACCCACGACAGAUACCCCACUCUGUCAGAGGAGGAACUCUGGGCUCCUAAAAUGACCUAAUCCAGGGAGUUAUCCCACAGGAACCAAGUGGGAAUGUUUCCAGAGGGAUAGGGAAGCACUCAGUUAUCCCCACUUGGGUCACCCAUGGCUGGCACCUCCUCUGGCAGGAGAGACCCCUCCUCUCUUUGGAAAACCAAAAA
Molecule: non-coding RNA, 972 nt
Organism: Taeniopygia guttata (zebra finch)
Lineage: Eukaryota; Metazoa; Chordata; Aves; Passeriformes; Estrildidae
Source: RefSeq, a predicted model, not a curated record